Molecule: non-coding RNA, 61 nt
Organism: Picea glauca (white spruce)
Lineage: Eukaryota; Viridiplantae; Streptophyta; Pinopsida; Pinales; Pinaceae
Source: Rfam
UUUACCCUGGGUAACAUCCUCGAAAUGAGGGGAGGUGCCCGGUGGGUUUCCCUAGGCUCUA